Molecule: long non-coding RNA, 5692 nt
Filed under: Panax ginseng (ginseng)
Lineage: Eukaryota; Viridiplantae; Streptophyta; Magnoliopsida; Apiales; Araliaceae
Description: long non-coding RNA (PGIN_LNC016119)
Source: RNAcentral
AAAGAAGCUUGAAGUAUAAAGCAAGAUGAAAGUUGAACAAAAUCUUGCAGAGUGAGAAAGAAUUGCUAAAUGAGAUGUUUGAGAUCUUGUGGGAGUUGAUGAACUCAUGGACAGAAAAGAGAACAAUUCUCCUAUUAAAAGUAAGUAACUCUUUUUCAUAUGAUUGCUUUGUGAUCUUUUCUAACCUUAUAAUCUAUAAGCGAUGGACUGAUGGUUAAUUGUCUUUUUAUCCCUCCUUAGUCCUUGGUGCCUCUUUGAAUAAAUUUUUUACUUACCAAAUGAAAAAAAAGUGUCAUGAGGCCGUUAUCAAGACAUUGAUUUUAUCAUCAAAGACAGUUGCAAUAGUAUGUUGGAUGAGAAAGUUGCUCCCCUUAUAGUUUUCAACCUAUUGCAUUUGUGGAGUAAAGAUAGAUGCUUAUUGACUCUUCCACAAUUUAAAACUUUUCAUUUUCUCAAUGGAGGGGAGAAUGAUGCAGAACUAGACCGGAAGUAUUGAUUAUUAGUAAAUUAAUUUAUGUUAUUAAUUUGGAUAAAAUGAUUGUAAUUAUUUUAAAUCUUUGAAGUAUAGUAGAUAGUAAUUUAAAAUAUAGUAGAUAAUAAUUAGGAAUCUAGGUUAAUUAGGCUGUUUAAGUAUUUUGGGGAUCUACCUAUGUAUAAAUUAGGUAAUAGCUAUUCCUUUUAAUAGGAUACUGAUACAUUGAGAGGAGAAGGUGAACAGAAUUUCUAGUUUAGCAAACUUCAUUAACCAGUGUUGGAAAAAAAUGCUGUAAUUUUCUAUACAUGAUUCUAAAUUGUUCACCUUUUGAAGUAUUGGAAACUAGAUUCAUAAACCUUUCAAAUGACAAUUAAUUUGUGUGAAAACUUUAAGUAGAAGAACAGUCCAUAAUUGUCCAGAAACAAUGGCUGCGCAUCUUCUUCUUCUUCUUCCUUUGUUUUUUAUAGUUUUAAUUCAUUACAACCAUGGGGGAUAGAUUGGGGGGGGNNNNNNNNNNNNNNNNNNNNNNNNNNNNNNNNNNNNNNNNNNNNNNNNNNNNNNNNNNNNNNNNNNNNNNNNNNNNNNNNNNNNNNNNNNNNNNNNNNNNUGCAAAGGCCAGCUAAACCAUCCAAGCUAAUGCUUGGUGGUAUGGCUGCACAUUUUCCCUUGUUUCUUAGUUACUUUAACUGUGUUUUGAGUUUCCUUAUGAGUCCGUCAAUUUGGUCUCUAGUUAUUACCAUACAUGUAUUUAAGCCUAUAAAUGUGGGAGGGGGGCAGGUUAGUGCUUUGAAUGUUUUGUUGAUUUGAAUAUAUAUGUUGAGCUUUGCUCUUUUUUAUCUAAUUUUCUUCUCUUUGAGAUAUUUUAAAUUUCUAUAGUUUGUCCUUGACCUUGUUCUCCCGCAUCAGAUACCUAUCAUAUCUUAAUAGUAUUAAAGUUUUACUUGGUAUCUAACAUUAGAGUUUAUUUAGUCAAUAAGUAUUAGGUUUUCUAUACGAGUCUUGCAUUCCUUACAUAAUGAAUAAAGAAUUGAAUAUUGAUUUGAGAUUGAGCUUUAUGCCAUUUUGGCCUUGGGGCAUGGUUUUUCUUCCGCUAUCCCCUUCUUUCUUCCUCCUUUAUCCCUUCCCUAAAUCCGUCUAGACCUUGUCCUGCAUCAAUGUGAUAAAAGAAUUUAUUCAAACUUGUGUGUCGUAUGUCCAUAACUUUAUAUCAAAAGAAAGCUUACCAAUGUUCUUUCUUUGCAAUUAAUACUACCCUUCCAUCUCCAGAUAAGAUUUUUUUUACCUCUCUACAUAAAAGUCAUGCACACCAUUCAAAGGGCCUUUAGAAUAAUAAAAUAAAACAUAUGGUUAGUAGGAAAACAACUUGAGGUGAGUACUCUGGCUUCAGACAAUCCUCAGCUCCCACCACCCAAAACACUAUACUUAUAAUCUCUCAAAAAAUUUAGGACUGCUCUCCAUGUCCAUUCUUGAUGUCAAUUUACCACUUGUUAAUACAAAAAACUUCAACCAUUCCUGAAAUUUGUUAUAUUUUCCUUGUGUACAAAGUUUGGCAAUGGCCAUUCCAAUAGACGCCUUGGCGUCCUGGCGCAUGAGCAUGCAACAAGUCGAUACUAGCGCCUUGGCAGCUAGGCGUCCACAAGUCGUCGCCGAGGCGACACCUCCAAGGUGAGCGCCAAGGCAACUUGGUCAAAUUGGAAGACAAUCCUAAAAAUUUCUGUCCACUUCAACUUGUCGACCCACACUCAACAUCACUUGACGAUGUUUGCGACACACACAACAACUAUUAGGGAAACUUCUGUUACAGAAGGCAAAAGAAAAAAUAUAAAGAAGACCAGAAGAAGAAGAAGAAGAUAUGAAGAGCUGAAAAGAAAAAGAAACGGGUUGGGGCAUAAGAAGAAGAAAGAAUAAAGUGCCUUUUGACUUCUAGCUGUCACCAACUAGCUAUUAUUGUUCUUUUUGUCUUUUUUGUUAAAUUUAAUUGCUAGCUGUCAUCCACUAAAGAUUUUAAUGUACUGAAGUGAUUCAUUGCCGCUUAACAAAACAAAAUAGAUGUGUUCCACGUGUUUGUUCUACAUGCUGGUCAUGAUUUUUUUUAACAAAAUAAUAAAUACUUUUUUCUUCUCAUAAAAAAGUAAUAAAAUAAUAUUUUUUUUAAAAAAGAAGUAACCCUCUCUUUCUCCAUGAAUUAUUAGUUGAAACUUAGUUUUAUUGCAUGUACAAUAACUCUUAAAAGUUAUAAUUUUUACCACAUAAAUCAUAAAAACUCGUGUAACUCUAAAUAAUAUAUAAAUAAUAUUUUUUCCCUAAAAUUAAAUGUAUAUUUUAUAUUGGUUUAAUGUAUUUUUUAGUGCAAGACAUGAGAAAAAUGCAUGAGAAAAUUAAAUAAUAAUUUUGGUUCAUUGUACUUUUGAUGUAAAAUAAAUAAUAUAUAAAUUGCAUACUGUGAACGACUUGUCGUCAUACGGACGCCAUGAUGGGCGCUUUAUCGCCUAGGCGUUGCCGCAUUGGUGGUUAGCUACUGUCGUGCCUCGCCGUGGCGCAGUGACAACUAUAACCAUUACAAGGAUGUAGUUAAAAAUGAUGAAUACCUAUGUGAUUUGUUGAUUACUUGUAGUGAAAUACUUCCUCUGCCCUCAAUUAUUGAAACACUUUUUUUUGGUGUGUGACACGGAGUUUAAGAUGAAUCAAAAACAUAUUUAGAUAUUAUAGCUUAUGUAUAUUUAUAUAUUUUGGCAUAUUUAGAUGUUAUAUUUUUAUUUGUAGUACAAAUUUUUAAUAAUAUAAUAUUUAAAUAUAAUUUUGGCAUGUCUUAAAAUCCGUGCCAGACACCAAAAAAAGUGUUUCAAUAAUUGUGGGACGGAGUAUAACAAUGUCCUAUGCAUUACCCAUGUUGUUCAUUCUCACUCAUGUCAAUUAUCAUAUGUUGGCAUUAAUGUUUUGUUUGCUUGGGUUACUCCUAGUUUGAUUUAUCAGAAUCAGAAAAUCAACUAUUAUACUUCCUCCGUUCCAAGUUAUAAAAUCGACCCAACUAUUAUAAUCCCUCCGUUCCAAGUUAUAAAAUCAUUAUUGACUUUAGAAAAUCAAUUUACAUUUUUAAACUAAAAAAUUAUAUGCUUCAUUAACAAUUAUGAAAACAUAAAUCUUAUAAUUUUAUAGUACUUUUUACAUAGUUUAUGAUAUUCAUCAUUGCAUUGACUAAAAUUUAAAAAAUUUAUGUCAAUAAUGAUCUUAUAUGUUGGAACGGAGGGAGUAUUAUAAUAAACCUUGUUUGCUGUAAUCUUUGUAUUUGUUUUCUUAGAUUCAGAAUUUGACUUAUUACCUAUUAAUACAGCCUCUCUUCAACUCUUGGUGGGAAAUGGCAAAACAUGCUAAGGUUUAAAAACAAGAAUUAGGUUUGAUGAGGAUCCAAGAUUGCUUAUUUGGUGCCUCGAUGGUCUUCUCUGCUAACACUGGCUUGGGUUCCCCAGUGGUAAAGUUUUUCUGUUCAUAUCUUUUAUAUGCUUUUCAAUUUUCAUUAUUUUACCCAUCACAUAUUGUUACUUGGACAAAUAUUUCUUUAAAUUAAUGCUCAAUUUUCAUUAUUUUACCCAUCACAUAAUGUUACUGAGAACACUUUCUUUAAAUAAAUGCUAUACAUCAAAUUUUGCCUUGAUAUAGUUGUGGUGAAUUACUCAUUGUUCUUUUGUUCUCAAUUUUGACUAAAUAUACGCCAAGCAGAUUUUUUAUGUAGGUUUUGGUGCAGUAUUGAUACUUGAGAGGUUGAUGAUUCUUGUAGAUAACUUGCUGUAUCAAUGAUAAACGUGCAUUCGUUUCAUCAAAGUUGAUUGUAUUUCUCAAUUCGUCCUUCUCUGCUUCAUCUUCUUUUAGCCAUCUUUUUAAGGUAAUAUGCUUAAUUGAACUUUAUUUCGUAUUUUGUUCAUAAAAAAGUGUUCUACAAAUUUUUAGAUGAGAUGGCAUAUAAUGCCUCCAAUCACAUGCUGAUCCACAUUCUACCUCACACUUUUAUACGAAUUACCUUUGUCACAUUCAUGCUUUAGUAAGUCCCUUCUGGCAUGCUUAACCUAGAGCUCCCAAGUGAUGCUGACCAAGUUUUUGAUGACUGAAUCAUGUUUGUGGUCCAUCAGUUGACAUCGUUAAGAUUUUGUAAUGUUUCUUUUUGAGCCUUAUCUUUUUUUACAUCUCCAUAUAGAAGAGGGAACUAAGAAAUUUCAGUUAAUGAAGAUUUGAGGGACUUAUAAUUGCCCCCUUCUAUGUAUAUCACUGUCACACAUUGCUCACUCAUUUAUCUCUUCACUCUUUUAUACCGGUGACCUCUGUAAAAUUUCUGCUUUAGAAAGAUCUUCUGGCAUCUUCAGGUCGAAUUUUUCCAGAGGCGCUGGGAGUUAAGAACCCAAUCUGAUGGCAGACAAUCAUCCUUUGCAUUCACAUGUAGUGAAUGUCCUAUAAUUGACCUUACCGACAUGGCUCUCCAUGUAAUUAGAUAGGUCUCCUAUUUCAAAAUCUAGGGGCUCAAGACAAUAUGCUUUUACCUCCAAACUAACACACAAUUAUCAAUAUGAACCUAAAUUUCUACGAGCAAUAUUAAGGUGCUGAUUGGAUCUUUCCUGCUGCUGGGUAUUUUUUAAGAAUCUCCAACACAUACCUUUUUUUUCUGAUUGAUUUAUGUUUUUAUUGCAUAAUAAUUUUUCGUCAUGGGUUUACAGAUAUUGCAUAAUGGGAUUUUGUAGGUGAAACAAGUGCUGCCAGUGUGCUAGUGAAGCUUAAGUUUAAUCGAUAUACUCGGUUUCAUUACAUGAUAAUAAUUUGGAUCUUCUUGGUCGACAGGCAUAUGUGAGUUCUCUAGUUGGUUUGCAUUUUUUUCAUUCUCUUCUAGAUAUUUGUUUAUAGUGUUCUGAUAUGUUUGUUAUGGAACAUAUUUUUUUUCCAGUUUGUCGCCUAAGGGAUUGGGACCUAGGAUUUGGUCUAAUCUAAUCAUUCACGAUUGCCUGCAGCUCAGGAGGUUUUUGAGAGCAUUAGUUUUUCCCCUGUGAGGAGAGAGGGUAAUAUGGUUGCCCAUGGGUUAACUAAAUUGGUUCAUUCUCCUGUGUUUUUUGUUUUUGUGUUUAAUGGGAGGAGUACCUGAUUUUAUCCUUCCUCUUGUUACUUUGGAUGCUCUGCCUUAAUUUAUUUAAGUCCUUUUUUGGGCUGUUUCAAAAAUAAAAUAAAAUAAAAAUAUGC